Molecule: transfer RNA, 71 nt
Filed under: Chelonia mydas (Green sea turtle)
Lineage: Eukaryota; Metazoa; Chordata; Testudines; Cheloniidae
Rfam family: tRNA
About the family: Transfer RNA (tRNA) molecules are approximately 80 nucleotides in length. Their secondary structure includes four short double-helical elements and three loops (D, anti-codon, and T loops).
Source: Rfam by way of RNAcentral
GGCAGUGUAGCCCAAUGAGUAGGGCACUAGAUUGGACUCAGGAGACCUGGCUUCAAUUCCCAGAUCUACCA